Molecule: ribosomal RNA, 440 nt
Filed under: uncultured bacterium
Lineage: Bacteria
Description: partial 16S ribosomal RNA
Rfam family: Bacterial small subunit ribosomal RNA
Source: RNAcentral
CCUACGGGUGGCUGCAGUGGGGGAUAUUGCACAAUGGGGGAAACCCUGAUGCAGCGACGCCGCGUGAGUGAAGAAGUAUUUCGGUAUGUAAAGCUCUAUCAGCAGGGAAGAAAAUGACAAUACUUGACCAAUAAGCCCCGGCUAACUACUUGCCAGCAGCCGCGGUGAUACGAAGGGGGCAAGCGUUAUCCGGAUUUACUGGGUGUAGAGGGAGCGUAGUCGGUUAAGUAAGUCUGGAGUGAAAGGCCGGGGCCCAACACCGGGACUGCUUUGGAAACUGUUGAACUUGAGUACAGGAGGGGUAGGCGGAAUUCCGGGUGUAGCGGUGAAAUGCGUAGAUAUCAGGAGGAACACCGGUGGCGAAGGCGGCCUGCUGGACUGAAACUGACGUUGAGGCUCGAAAGCGUGGGGAGCAAACAGGAUUAGAUACCCGAGUAGUC